This 387-nucleotide ribosomal RNA is filed under the name uncultured euryarchaeote. RNAcentral describes it as "bacterial SSU rRNA". It matches the Rfam family "Archaeal small subunit ribosomal RNA", at positions 339 to 727 of the family's 1478-position model. The record is from RNAcentral. Lineage: Archaea; Methanobacteriati; Methanobacteriota.
GCGCGAAACCUUUGCAAUGCACGUAAGUGUGACAGGGGAAUCCAGAGUGCUUAUACAAAGUAUAGGCUUUUGCCAAGAGUAAAUAUCUUGGAGAAUAAGUGGUGGGAAAGACUGGUGCCAGCCGCCGCGGUAACCCCAGCGCCACUAGUGGGAAUCGCGUUUAUUUGGCCUAAAGCAUCCGUAGCUGGUUCUGUAAAUCUCUUGUGAAAUUGUUAGGCUCAACCUAACAGCGUGCAGGAGACACUGCAAAACUAGGGACUGGGAGGAGUCAGAGGUAUGCUGUGGGGAGCGGUAAAAUGCUAUAAUCCACGGUAGACCACCUGUGGCGAAGGCGUCUGACUAGAACAGGUCCGACAGUGAGGGAUGAAAGCCAGGGGAGCAAACCGG